GCUUCUAAAGGAUAACAGCUCAUCCACUGGUCUUAGGAACCAGAGACUCUUGGUGCAAGUCCAAGUAGCAGCU
Molecule: transfer RNA, 73 nt
Filed under: Psenopsis anomala (melon seed)
Lineage: Eukaryota; Metazoa; Chordata; Actinopteri; Scombriformes; Centrolophidae
Description: tRNA-Leu
Rfam family: tRNA
About the family: Transfer RNA (tRNA) molecules are approximately 80 nucleotides in length. Their secondary structure includes four short double-helical elements and three loops (D, anti-codon, and T loops). Further hydrogen bonds mediate the characteristic L-shaped molecular structure. tRNAs have two regions of fundamental functional importance: the anti-codon, which is responsible for specific mRNA codon recognition, and the 3' end, to which the tRNAs corresponding amino acid is attached (by aminoacyl-tRNA synthetases). tRNAs cope with the degeneracy of the genetic code in two manners: having more than one tRNA (with a specific anti-codon) for a particular amino acid; and 'wobble' base-pairing, i.e. permitting non-standard base-pairing at the 3rd anti-codon position.
Source: RNAcentral